This 745-nucleotide unclassified non-coding RNA is filed under the name Penaeus monodon (black tiger shrimp). RNAcentral describes it as "peritrophin-1-like, transcript variant X2". Lineage: Eukaryota; Metazoa; Arthropoda; Malacostraca; Decapoda; Penaeidae. The record is from RNAcentral.
CCUUGUGCUCAGAGCAACAGCUCAGUAGACGCUGGCAUUCGUACAACGUCUGACCAUGGCUCUUCGCGUCGCAGCUGCUGUUCUCCUUCUGGCCGUCGCUGCCAGCGCCGAGGAAUGUUCCUUGCCUUCCUGCCUCCUCGUUGACGGGCAUCCGAUCCGGUGUCAAGACCCCUCUUUGGUCCAGUUCAUCCCGCACCCCACCAACUGCCAUCAGUACAUACAGUGCACCUUAGCAGGGCCUAUCCUAAGGGACUGCCCUCCUGGAACGGCCUGGGACCAAGACCUCAGGACCUGCGCUCACGAGGCCACUGUCGCUUCCUGUAAUAAGGUUCCUGAGAUCUGCGACUGUGACUGCUGCUUCCGCGCCGACCCCGAUGACGUCACUGGCUUCGUCUACUGUUACAUGACAAAGCAACGGCCUACAAACUGAACUGCCCAGAGGGUCGAAACUGGAAUGAUUCCACCAAGUUAUGUGCUUAAGAAAUGACGACAUGGAUUAUCACUAGAAUAUUACUAACCAGAAGGUAUAAGGAGAAGAAAAGCUUCCCGGAAUCACAAGCAAUAACAGAGAUCAUGAACAAGCCAUAGUCAUAACAAUAAGAGACCACUGGACUUCUCACAAGCCCGAAACCUCAAGGUUUCCAUCGCGGCUUCGGUAGUACUUCGGGAGGUUUCCUUUGCUGUCAUGGGAUACAGAUAAUGAUUGUGGUAUUGGCAGUGAUUAAAAUUUUUAAUUCUGAAUGGA